This 516-nucleotide long non-coding RNA is filed under the name Phoenix dactylifera (date palm). RNAcentral's name for it is "long non-coding RNA (PDAC_LNC009912)". The record is from RNAcentral. Lineage: Eukaryota; Viridiplantae; Streptophyta; Magnoliopsida; Arecales; Arecaceae.
GGAUUAUGUUCACGGUUGAGAGGAGAUGCCGGAAGACAUGUGAACGGGAAGAUAAAGAUGAACCGAGAUAGAAGGAACUAGGGAGUUGGAAUACGUGGAAGGCCCUGUUCUUUGGAUCCGAAUGAAGCGCACACGGGAGGUUGGUUGUUGAGCCAGGAGCAAGCGGAAUGAUGGAGAGGAUAAACUCUGUUUUGUUGCUCGCUUGUUUGGGAUCAAUCCGGGAGUUUGGGGAUCAGGAAGACUUUGAACGGGAUGAAGAGAAGUUGAGGAAGACGUUGAGAACAGUGGAUACGGUUGGGAACAUGGGAUUAAGAUGAACCUGUUCUUUGGACAUAGGAGAGAAGAAAUGUCAUGGAACGAGGGGAGGAUAAGACAAGAUGAAAUUCCGGUUGACGUGGAUGCAUGGGAGCUAGGAUAGAGCUAUGCACGUGGAACAAGGGUUGUGGACUGAGACACGAACUUGGGGAACUUGAUGAACGUGUGAAGGAGAAGAAAAGAAUUUGAUGGAAUGCAGUG